CCCCGACCAUGGCGUGCCCUAGUUGCCCUGUCUCUAGAGGCAAAGCACCGCAGCUAACGAGGCGUAGUCUGGCAAGAUCCAGGCAGAGACAAGGAGAUGUGGGGUCAGUGAAGAUAGAACGAUCCACUGCCUUGUGCUUCACCUCUCGUGAGCUCCUCAUUCAGAUUCAUUCCUUGAUUCAACAAAUCAAUGAACGCAGCCUCUAUUAGGACAUAAGGCGAUGGAGAUUUUUUUUUUCUGAGAUUCUGUUUUGGUUGUUUGUUCUUUCCAGAUAUUUGUUCUUGCAUUUUUCUAUGACAGAUCUUGUUACUUUCCGUUCAUGGUUCAGAUUUUUCUUUCAAAUGUUCAUGUUUCUGAUCUUGUUUCAUUUAGUUCUUGCAAUUAGUUCAUAGUCAGGGAAGACAAAGAGGAAAGGAAGAUUACAAUUAGAAUAUAAUAAAACCAUAAGAGGAGGAAUAUCAGGAAGAGAUUUGGCCAAUCUGAGUCAGCCCCACCAGAUUCGAUUUUCCAAUCAAUAAGUAUCUUUUGCAUCUGUUGUAUGAGGCCACACCUUGUGUAUUUAUAUACAUGUACUCACAUCCUUCAGAUUUUUAAUGUGUUAGAUUUAUAUGCUUUGGCCGGGAAGAUUAGAAUACUUAAAUAGUGUAUACAAGUGACGACCAUCUUGUGUUUAGACCGUGGCAGCGCACGGGCAUUUCCACUAGUAGAAGUAGUAUAGAUGUUUGUGAUGUAGCCCUGUCUAGAGCAGGCGUGGAUUUCGUAAUUCUAACUUCACUGUGAAUCUAUUUGAGAUUUUGUAGCAUGGUAACUGUGCUUCGUCUAAAGAAGCCGGUAUUUUUUUUUUCUGGUGACCUUUUGGUAGUAAUUUUAGUGUCGGUACGACGGUACCAUGACAGUAGUAGAACUCUUCUUCACACGCUGUACAUGCAUAUCUGAUAUCAUUAUUGACCAUUUCAGCCCGGAGUCGUUGACCAUUUCAGCCCGGAGUUGGAACUAGAGCCAAGCCGUACGACUAUCUUAGAAUUCCGUCUCACAAAAUUGGCAACUUGGUAAUCCAUUAGAGAAAAAAAUAUUUUUCGUCCAUCAACUUGUCGAAAAGUAGACAACUAGUCUCUUAACUUUUUUCAUAUACUUUUAGUACCUCAAUAGUCGAAACUGGAUAACAACGGUUCCUCACCCAUUUGAAAUGGUAUUAGUGCUGAUG
Molecule: long non-coding RNA, 1204 nt
Filed under: Brachypodium distachyon (stiff brome)
Lineage: Eukaryota; Viridiplantae; Streptophyta; Magnoliopsida; Poales; Poaceae
Description: long non-coding RNA (BDIS_LNC005856)
Source: RNAcentral